Molecule: non-coding RNA, 581 nt
Organism: Oryctolagus cuniculus (rabbit)
Lineage: Eukaryota; Metazoa; Chordata; Mammalia; Lagomorpha; Leporidae
Source: RefSeq, a predicted model, not a curated record
CUGAGAAGGAGGGUGAGGGGCCACACACCAGUGAGCCCCAGGGUCUCUGGAGAGAGAGAGAGAAAGGUCUUCCUUCCGUUGGUUCACCCCUGAAAUGGCCACUACGGCUGGUGCACUGUGCCGAUCCAAAGCCAGGAGCCAGGUACUUCCUCCUAGUCUCCCAUGUGGGAGCAGGGCCCAAGGACUUGGGCCAUCCUCCACUGCACUCCCAGACCACAGCAGAGAGCUAGACUGGAAGAGGAGCAACCGGGACAGAAUCCAGCGCCCCAACCAGGACUAGAACUCUGGGUGCCGGCACUGCAGGUGGAGGAUUAGCCAACUACCAACCAUUCAUUAACUACCUAGAUGCUCAAUUUGACGUCUGUCUUCAAGAAGAACUGAAGAUUAAACGUUCCUUCUUUCAGUACCACGAUUCUCGUGUCCAUGUGUGCCUUUACUUCAUUUCACCUGCGGGACAUUCUCUGAAGUCCCUUGACAUAAUAACAAUGAAGAACAUUGACGGUAAGGUGUGUGCAAUGAAUCAUCAGCUUUUAAAGUUUAAUAUUUAUUUUGGAAUAAGACGGUAUUUUGAAGCAUUUGCA